Molecule: unclassified non-coding RNA, 344 nt
Filed under: soil metagenome
Description: partial contains 5.8S ribosomal RNA, internal transcribed spacer 2, and large subunit ribosomal RNA
Rfam family: 5.8S ribosomal RNA (bases 1-120)
Source: RNAcentral
GAUGAAGAACGCAGCGAAAUGCGAUAAGUAAUGUGAAUUGCAGAAUUCAGUGAAUCAUCGAAUCUUUGAACGCACAUUGCGCCCGCCAGCACUCUGGCGGGCAUGCCUGUCCGAGCGUCAUUUCAACCCUCAGGCCCCCCGGGGACUGGUGUUGGGGAUCGGCCCGCCCUGGCGCGGCGCCGUCCCCGAAAUACAGUGGCGGUCUCGCUGCAGCCUCCCCUGCGUAGUAGCACACCUCGCAUUGGAGAGCGGCGCGGCCACGCCGUGAAACCCCAACUUCUGAUAGUUGACCUCGGAUCAGGUAGGAAUACCCGCUGAACUUAAGCAUAUCAAUAAGCGGAGGA